UCUGGCUCAGGAUGAACGCUGGGCGGCGUGCUUAACACAUGCAAGUCGAACGGUGAAGCUCCAGCUUGCUGGAGUGGAUCAGUGGCGAACGGGUGAGUAACACGUGAGCAACCUGCCCCGGACUCUGGGAUAAGCGCUGGAAACGGCGUCUAAUACCGGAUACGCACCAGAAUCGCAUGGUUACUGGUGGGAAAGAUUUUUUGGUUCGGGAUGGGCUCGCGGCCUAUCAGCUUGUUGGUGAGGUAACGGCUCACCAAGGCGUCGACGGGUAGCCGGCCUGAGAGGGUGACCGGCCACACUGGGACUGAGACACGGCCCAGACUCCUACGGGAGGCAGCAGUGGGGAAUAUUGCACAAUGGGCGGAAGCCUGAUGCAGCAACGCCGCGUGAGGGAUGACGGCCUUCGGGUUGUAAACCUCUUUUAGCAGGGAAGAAGCGAAAGUGACGGUACCUGCAGAAAAAGCGCCGGCUAACUACGUGCCAGCAGCCGCGGUAAUACGUAGGGCGCAAGCGUUAUCCGGAAUUAUUGGGCGUAAAGAGCUCGUAGGCGGUCUGUCGCGUCUGCUGUGAAAACCCGAGGCUCAACCUCGGGCCUGCAGUGGGUACGGGCAGACUAGAGUGCGGUAGGGGAGAUUGGAAUUCCUGGUGUAGCGGUGGAAUGCGCAGAUAUCAGGAGGAACACCGAUGGCGAAGGCAGAUCUCUGGGCCGUAACUGACGCUGAGGAGCGAAAGGGUGGGGAGCAAACAGGCUUAGAUACCCUGGUAGUCCACCCCGUAAACGUUGGGAACUAGUUGUGGGGGCCUUUCCACGGUCUCCGUGACGCAGCUAACGCAUUAAGUUCCCCGCCUGGGGAGUACGGCCGCAAGGCUAAAACUCAAAGGAAUUGACGGGGACCCGCACAAGCGGCGGAGCAUGCGGAUUAAUUCGAUGCAACGCGAAGAACCUUACCAAGGCUUGACAUAUAGAGGAAAGGGCUGGAAACAGUCCCCCCGCAAGGUCUCUAUACAGGUGGUGCAUGGUUGUCGUCAGCUCGUGUCGUGAGAUGUUGGGUUAAGUCCCGCAACGAGCGCAACCCUCGUUCUAUGUUGCCAGCACGUAAUGGUGGGAACUCAUGGGAUACUGCCGGGGUCAACUCGGAGGAAGGUGGGGAUGACGUCAAAUCAUCAUGCCCCUUAUGUCUUGGGCUUCACGCAUGCUACAAUGGCCGGUACAAAGGGCUGCAAUACCGUGAGGUGGAGCGAAUCCCAAAAAGCCGGUCCCAGUUCGGAUUGAGGUCUGCAACUCGACCUCAUGAAGUCGGAGUCGCUAGUAAUCGCAGAUCAGCAACGCUGCGGUGAAUACGUUCCCGGGUCUUGUACACACCGCCCGUCAAGUCAUGAAAGUCGGUAACACCUGAAGCCGGUGGCCUAACCCUUGUGGAGGGAGCCGUCGAAGGUGGGAUCGGUAAUUAGGACUAAGUCGUACAAAGGGUAACCCAAAAAGGAUAGAACACAUCCUAUUGCGCAUAACAUAGAGUAUGGCGAAGGAAGCUAACCUGAUAGACAGAGGUAGAGAGUGAUCGAGUAGUCGAGGUGGAGGUUAUACGAUCGACU
RNAcentral lists this ribosomal RNA (1593 nucleotides) under Microbacterium album. RNAcentral's name for it is "bacterial SSU rRNA". It matches the Rfam family "Bacterial small subunit ribosomal RNA". The record is from RNAcentral. Lineage: Bacteria; Bacillati; Actinomycetota; Actinomycetes; Micrococcales; Microbacteriaceae.